This 450-nucleotide ribosomal RNA is filed under the name uncultured bacterium. RNAcentral describes it as "bacterial SSU rRNA". It matches the Rfam family "Bacterial small subunit ribosomal RNA", at positions 354 to 796 of the family's 1533-position model. The record is from RNAcentral.
GUGGGGAAUAUUGGACAAUGGGCGGAAGCCUGAUCCAGCCAUGCCGCGUGUGUGAAGAAGGUCUUCGGAUUGUAAAGCACUUUAAGUUGGGAGGAAGGGCAGUAAGCUAAUACAUUGCUGUUUUGACGUUACCGACAGAAUAAGCACCGGCUAACUUCGUGCCAGCAGCCGCGGUAAUACGAAGGGUGCAAGCGUUAAUCGGAAUUACUGGGCGUAAAGCGCGCGUAGGUGGUUCAGCAAGUUGGAGGUGAAAUCCCCGGGCUCAACCUGGGAACUGCCUCCAAAACUACCGAGCAAGAGUACGGUAGAGGGUAGUUGAAUUUCCUGUGUAGCGGUGAAAUGCGUAGAUAUAGGAAGGAACACCAGUGGCGAAGGCGACUACCUGGACUGAUACUGACACUGAGGUGCGAAAGCGUGGGGAGCAAACAGGAUUAGAUACCCUUGUAGUCC